AAACUCAAAUGAAUUGACGGGACCGCACAAGCGGUGGAUGAUGUGGUUUAAUUCGAUGCAACGCGAAAAACCUUACCCACCUUUGACAUGUACGGAAUCCUUUAGAGAUAGAGGGUGCUCGAAAGAGAACCGUAACACAGGUGCUGCAUGGCUGUCGUCAGCUCGUGUCGUGAGAUGUUGGGUUAAGUCCCGCAACGAGCGCAACCCUUGUCAUUAGUUGCUACAUUUAGUUGGGCACUCUAAUGAGACUGCCGGUGACAAACCGGAGGAAGGUGGGGAUGACGUCAAGUCCUCAUGGCCCUUAUAGGUGGGGCUACACACGUCAUACAAUGGAUGGUACAAAGGGUCGCCAACCCGCGAGGGGGAGCCAAUCCCAUAAAGCCAUUCGUAGUCCGGAUCGCAGUCUGCAACUCGACUGCGUGAAGUCGGAAUCGCUAGUAAUCGUGGAUCAGAAUGUCACGGUGAAUACGUUCCCGGGUCUU
RNAcentral lists this ribosomal RNA (482 nucleotides) under uncultured Acidovorax sp. Its description in RNAcentral is "bacterial SSU rRNA". It matches the Rfam family "Bacterial small subunit ribosomal RNA", at positions 897 to 1382 of the family's 1533-position model. Lineage: Bacteria; Pseudomonadati; Pseudomonadota; Betaproteobacteria; Burkholderiales; Comamonadaceae. The record is from RNAcentral.